This 287-nucleotide ribosomal RNA is filed under the name uncultured bacterium. RNAcentral describes it as "partial 16S ribosomal RNA". It matches the Rfam family "Bacterial small subunit ribosomal RNA", at positions 775 to 1067 of the family's 1533-position model. The record is from RNAcentral.
GGAUUAGAUACCCUGGUAGUCCACGCCGUAAACUAUGAUUACUCGAUAUUGGCGAUACACAGUCAGUGUCUAAGCGAAAGUGAUAAGUAAUCCACCUGGGGAGUACGUUGGCAACAAUGAAACUCAAAGGAAUUGACGGGGGCCCGCACAAGCGGUGGAGCAUGUGGUUUAAUUCGAUGAUACGCGAGGAACCUUACCAGGGCUUAAAUGCAAACUGACAGAUCUGGAAACAGAUUUUUCUUCGGACAGAUUGCAAGGUGCUGCAUGGCUGUCGUCAGCUCGUGCCG